RNAcentral lists this ribosomal RNA (569 nucleotides) under Bipolaris oryzae. RNAcentral describes it as "eukaryotic LSU rRNA". The stretch from base 195 to 348 matches the Rfam family "5.8S ribosomal RNA". Lineage: Eukaryota; Fungi; Ascomycota; Dothideomycetes; Pleosporales; Pleosporaceae. The record is from RNAcentral.
GACCUGCGGAGGGAUCAUUACACAACAAAAUAUGAAGGCCUGGCUUUCGCGGCCGGCUGAAGUAUUUUUUUCACCCAUGUCUUUUGCGCACUUGUUGUUUCCUGGGCGGGUUCGCCCGCCACCAGGACCAAACCAUAAACCUUUUUUUCUUAUGCAGUUUCCAUCAGCGUCAGUAAAAACAAUGUAAUUAUUACAACUUUCAACAACGGAUCUCUUGGUUCUGGCAUCGAUGAAGAACGCAGCGAAAUGCGAUACGUAGUGUGAAUUGCAGAAUUCAGUGAAUCAUCGAAUCUUUGAACGCACAUUGCGCCCUUUGGUAUUCCAAAGGGCAUGCCUGUUCGAGCGUCAUUUGUACCUUCAAGCUUUGCUUGGUGUUGGGCGUUUUUUUGUCUCCCUCUUUCUGGGAGACUCGCCUUAAAACGAUUGGCAGCCGGCCUACUGGUUUCGGAGCGCAGCACAUUUUUUGCGCUUUGUAUCAGGAGAAAAGGACGGUACUCCAUCAAGACUCUACAUUUUUCACUUUUGACCUCGGAUCAGGUAGGGAUACCCGCUGAACUUAAGCAUAUCAA